GGCGGCGUGCCUAACACAUGCAAGUCGAGCGAGGAGAUCCUCGGGAUGAUCCUAGCGGCGGACGGGUGAGUAACACGUGGGCAACCUGCCUCAUAGAGAGGAAUAGCCUUCCGAAAGGGAGAUUAAUACCUCAUAACAUUGCAGUUUCGCAUGGAACAGCAAUUAAAGGAGUAAUCCGCUAUGAGAUGGGCCCGCGGCGCAUUAGCUAGUUGGUGAGGUAAUGGCUCACCAAGGCGACGAUGCGUAGCCGACCUGAGAGGGUGAUCGGCCACAUUGGGACUGAGACACGGCCCAGACUCCUACGGGAGGCAGCAGUGGGGAAUAUUGCACAAUGGGGGAAACCCUGAUGCAAGCAACGCCGCGUGAGUGAUGACGGCCUUCGGGUUGUAAAGCUCUGUCUUCAGGGACGAUAAUGACGGUACCUGAGGAGGAAGCCACGGCUAACUACGUGCCAGCAGCCGC
RNAcentral lists this ribosomal RNA (462 nucleotides) under uncultured bacterium. RNAcentral's name for it is "bacterial SSU rRNA". It matches the Rfam family "Bacterial small subunit ribosomal RNA", at positions 38 to 518 of the family's 1533-position model. The record is from RNAcentral.